Molecule: long non-coding RNA, 536 nt
Organism: Arachis duranensis
Lineage: Eukaryota; Viridiplantae; Streptophyta; Magnoliopsida; Fabales; Fabaceae
Exons: 3
Source: RefSeq, a predicted model, not a curated record
GUUGUUGCGGCUCCUCUGUUUCUCUUUGGUGGCCAAACUUGUUGCUCAUUGUUCGUUGCUGCUCUGCUCCUCUGUUUCUCUCUGAUACCAGCAGACAUGGUGGCAAACUCAAUUAUCAUAGCACUAUUGGUUCAUUCUAAGAGUUUUUGUUGUGGCUGCCCUUUCACUCAUUCCACUGGUGCCAGGACAUCUUUCUAAUAGGGCUUAUCGACUUUCUUUUUUGGGUACCACGUGCUCUUCUCUGUUUUCCUUGUACUCAUUAUACGGGAUAAGUUUGUUGUUAUGAUUUUAGAGAUGAGUAUUUUGUUAUAUUUUCUUAAACCAGGUUUCAUAUGGGGUGAGGUAAGAUUGAUGAAAUGCACCCCACUCCUACUCAAUGUGAAUGGUCAUUUUCUUUCCAUUUGUACUUGAUGAAACGUAACUUACUGGUGUGGUUUUGAGAACCAUAUAACUGGUGCAUCUUCAUAAAUUUAUUCUUUUAAUCUUUUUAUUUUUAUACAGAUUGUAAUUAUAAUUCAACUGUUGCUGUAUCUUGG